Molecule: ribosomal RNA, 652 nt
Filed under: uncultured Funneliformis
Lineage: Eukaryota; Fungi; Glomeromycota; Glomeromycetes; Glomerales; Glomeraceae
Description: SSU rRNA
Rfam family: Eukaryotic small subunit ribosomal RNA
Source: RNAcentral
AAGCUCGUAGUUGAAUUUCGGGAUCAAUAUUUCGGUCAUGCCGUUGGUAUGCACUGUUAUCAUUGAUUUCUCACCUUCUAAAGAACCGUAAUGCCAUUAAUUUGGUGUUACGGGGAAUUAGGACUGUUACCUUGAAAAAAUUAGAGUGUUUAAAGCAGGCUCACGCUUGAAUACAUUAGCAUGGAAUAAUGAAAUAGGACAUCCGAUUCUAUUUUGUUGGUUUCUAGGAUCGAUGUAAUGAUUAAUAGGGAUAGUUGGGGGCAUUAGUAUUCAAUUGUCAGAGGUGAAAUUCUUGGAUUUAUUGAAGACUAACUACUGCGAAAGCAUUUGCCAAGGAUGUUUUCAUUAAUCAAGAACGAAAGUUAGGGGAUCGAAGACGAUCAGAUACCGUCGUAGUCUUAACCAUAAACUAUGCCGACUAGGGAUCGGAUGAUGUUAAUUUUUUAAUGACUCAUUCGGCGCCUUACGGGAAACCAAAGUGUUUGGGUUCCGGGGGGAGUAUGGUCGCAAGGCUGAAACUUAAAGGAAUUGACGGAAGGGCACCACCAGGGGUGGAGCCUGCGGCUUAAUUUGACUCAACACGGGGAAACUCACCAGGUCCAGACAUAGUAAGGAUUGACAGAUUGAGAGCUCUUUCUUGAUUCUAUGGGUG